GAUGAACGCUGGCGGCGUGCCUAAUACAUGCAAGUCGAGCGAACAGAUGAGGAGCUUGCUCCUCUGACGUUAGCGGCGGACGGGUGAGUAACACGUGGAUAACCUACCUAUAAGACUGGGAUAACUUCGGGAAACCGGAGCUAAUACCGGAUAAUAUAUUGAACCGCAUGGUUCAAUAGUGAAAGACGGUUUUGCUGUCACUUAUAGAUGGAUCCGCGCCGCAUUAGCUAGUUGGUAAGGUAACGGCUUACCAAGGCAACGAUGCGUAGCCGACCUGAGAGGGUGAUCGGCCACACUGGAACUGAGACACGGUCCAGACUCCUACGGGGGGCAGCAGUAGGGAAUCUUCCGCAAUGGGCGAAAGCCUGACGGAGCAACGCCGCGUGAGUGAUGAAGGUCUUCGGAUCGUAAAACUCUGUUAUUAGGGAAGAACAAAUGUGUAAGUAACUAUGCACGUCUUGACGGUACCUAAUCAGAAAGCCACGGCCAACUACGUG
This 497-nucleotide ribosomal RNA is filed under the name uncultured bacterium. Its description in RNAcentral is "partial 16S ribosomal RNA". It matches the Rfam family "Bacterial small subunit ribosomal RNA", at positions 28 to 507 of the family's 1533-position model. The record is from RNAcentral.